UACGGAGGGUGCGAGCGUUGCUUGGAAUUAUUGGGCGUAAAGCGUACGCAGGCGGCUCGGCAAGUCGAGUGUGAAAUCCCGGGGCUCAACUCCGGAACUGCAUUCGAUACUGCCGGGCUUGAGUGCGGGAGAGGGAAGCGGAAUUCCUGGUGUAGAGGUGAAAUUCGUAGAUAUCAGGAGGAACACCGGUGGCGAAAGCGGCUUCCUGGCCCGACACUGACGCUAAUGUACGAAAGCGUGGGGAGCAAACAGG
This 253-nucleotide ribosomal RNA is filed under the name uncultured bacterium. RNAcentral's name for it is "partial 16S ribosomal RNA". It matches the Rfam family "Bacterial small subunit ribosomal RNA", at positions 524 to 776 of the family's 1533-position model. The record is from RNAcentral.